CGAUGACGGCCUUCGGGUUGUAAAGUUCUGUUAUACGGGACGAAUGGUACGACGGUCAAUACCCGUCUUAAGUGACGGUACCGUAAGAGAAAGCCACGGCUAACUACGUGCCAGCAGCCGCGGUAAUUUU
RNAcentral lists this ribosomal RNA (130 nucleotides) under bacterium C1. Its description in RNAcentral is "partial 16S ribosomal RNA". It matches the Rfam family "Bacterial small subunit ribosomal RNA", at positions 406 to 527 of the family's 1533-position model. The record is from RNAcentral.